This 331-nucleotide unclassified non-coding RNA is filed under the name soil metagenome. Its description in RNAcentral is "partial contains 5.8S ribosomal RNA, internal transcribed spacer 2, and large subunit ribosomal RNA". The stretch from base 1 to 120 matches the Rfam family "5.8S ribosomal RNA", at positions 35 to 154 of the family's 154-position model. The record is from RNAcentral.
GAUGAAGAACGUAGUGAAAUGCGAUAAGUAAUGUGAAUUGCAGAAUUCAGUGAAUCAUCGAAUCUUUGAACGCACAUUGCGCCCCCUGGUAUUCCGGGGGGCAUGCCUGUUCGAGCGUCAUUUCACCACUCAAGCCUCGCUUGGUAUUGGGCAUCGCGGUCCGCCGCGCGCCUCAAAUCGACCGGCUGGGUCUUCUGUCCCCUAAGCGUUGUGGAAACUAUUCGCUAAAGGGUGUUCGGGAGGCUACGCCGUAAAACAACCCCAUUUCUAAGGUUGACCUCGGAUCAGGUAUGGAUACCCGCUGAACUUAAGCAUAUCAAUAAGCGGAGGA